This 725-nucleotide long non-coding RNA is filed under the name Sinocyclocheilus anshuiensis. RNAcentral describes it as "lncRNA (ENSSANG00000040420.1)". Lineage: Eukaryota; Metazoa; Chordata; Actinopteri; Cypriniformes; Cyprinidae. The record is from RNAcentral.
CUCCAAUAGAAGACGAGAAUUUCGGACAGACAGCGACUCCCACCAAUUACAUCCCGAGCUCGAUUUCCGCCAGCCAAUCACUGACGCGGAGGCGGGCUCCAGCGCUCUUGUAGAGGGGAGGGUUCACACGUUUCACUACGUUGGCUCUUCUCCCAUAAAGAUUUCGGUGUGGGAAUUUCAGUUUUACAUUGCAUGAGGAGGAAUGCAACGGAACGUAUCGGAAUGUUUUUCUAGUUUUUAGGAAUUCUAAAGAACCUUUAUGGUCAUCCUUGGAACUUUUAGGCGGAACACAUGACAAGAUCUAGAGGUACUACUGAAAGAGCUGAAGACUUUCAGUCGUGAAGUAACAGUAAGCUGAAGACUGAUUUUCUUUGGAAAUGUUAUAUAUCACGAACCUUGAAACAGCAUAAAAAAUACAUAAAAAACAUAAUAGUUAUUUACGGUUACGUAACAUGGACCUGAAAUGGGCACUACUUUUGGGUCUCUUUCUACCAUCAUGCAGUGGAUGUGCCAAUGGAUAUAAAUUUGUUAAAAGGAAAUGUGUUGAUGAGGAUGAGUGUGCUGUUUUCCCGAUUGUGUGUGGCGAUCACGCUCAGUGUGUGAAUACAGAGGGAAGUUACCACUGCUCCUGUAAUGAAGGAUUCAAAAUGAGCUUAACAGGAUCGUGUAAAGACAUCGAUGAGUGUAGAGAUGAUCCAGAUGUUUGCGGCACUAACGGCGACUGA